UACGGGAGGCAGCAGUGGGGAAUAUUGCACAAUGGGCGCAAGCCUGAUGCAGCCAUGCCGCGUGUAUGAAGAAGGCCUUCGGGUUGUAAAGUACUUUCAGUCGUGAGGAAGGUGUUAAGGUUAAUAACCUUAGCAAUUGACGUUAGCGACAGAAGAAGCACCGGCUAACUCCGUGCCAGCAGCCGCGGUAAUACGGAGGGUGCGAGCGUUAAUCGGAAUUACUGGGCGUAAAGGGCACGCAGGCGGUUAAUUAAGUUGGAUGUGAAAUCCCCGGGCUUAACCUGGGAAUGGCAUUCAAGACUGGUUAGCUAGAGUCUUGUAGAGGGGGUAGAAUUCCGAUGUGUAGCGGUGAAAUGCGUAGAGAUGUGGAGGAAUACCGGUGGCGAAGGCGGCCCCUGGACAAAGACUGACGCUCAUGUGCGAAAGCGUGGGGAGCAAACGAGGGAUUAGA
This 451-nucleotide ribosomal RNA is filed under the name uncultured bacterium. RNAcentral describes it as "bacterial SSU rRNA". It matches the Rfam family "Bacterial small subunit ribosomal RNA", at positions 340 to 782 of the family's 1533-position model. The record is from RNAcentral.